This 25-nucleotide unclassified non-coding RNA is filed under the name Mus musculus (house mouse). RNAcentral describes it as "oocyte_clustered_small_RNA13300". Lineage: Eukaryota; Metazoa; Chordata; Mammalia; Rodentia; Muridae. The record is from RNAcentral.
UGAUGUCAGCACUUCAAUACAGGAG